This is a long non-coding RNA of Symphalangus syndactylus (siamang), 757 nucleotides long. RefSeq lists it as uncharacterized. NCBI's taxonomy places the organism in Eukaryota, Metazoa, Chordata, Mammalia, Primates, Hylobatidae. The record is from RefSeq and is a predicted model, not a curated record.
AAUGGAAAAGGUCCCAGAGGAGUCCCAAGAAGAAGACACUGCAUGGAUGUUGCUGAAGAGUCCUGCUGGAAUCUACCACCAAGUCUGCAGGUGCUGAGACUCCUUAAGGCUGAAGGGGCAGGACUACUGCCCCAGCCGGCACCUAACCGGGAGGCCCCACAGAGGAUCUCAGCUGCUUCUGCUGAUUGGAGAUAUUUGCCGGACAGCUGAAAGGCUGGAGACUUGAGUUCACAGUAUGCCUGCAAUAAACAGCAAUUGCUCAUCCUCAUCCUCCCUUCCCUAUUUCUCAUCUUCACUCCUUUGCUCUUACCUUUCUCCUGGCAGUGGGCUCAGUUUGGGAAAAUCUAACUGGGGAAACUCAAGAGAGGCGUGUAAACCAAACACCCGGCAAUUACACCAUCUAGGUUCCCAGACAGUACUUCCUGACCCGAAGAAGGACCCAACAACCGACAGCAAAUCCCCACCCCACUUGGGUCCCCAGCUCGAGUCUCGAGUCCGCGGUCGGGGCCUCCUCCUCCCCCUCCCCCCAGAGACGUCUCACCUCCCACCGUGGACUUGUAGUGUUUGCUGAAGCUGUCCUGGGAAUAUCGCUGCACCAGCGACGUCUUGCCCACUGCGGCGUCCCCCACCACCAGCACUUUGAACAGGUGGUCGCGGCUGCCCAUGGCUAGCGGGUUGUGCGUUUUAGGGAGGCGGGAAGUGGGUGGGGGGGGGGGGUCGCUUGUUUUAACCCCUUUGGCUCCGGACCCUCUUCAAA